AGAGUUUGAUCAUGGCUCAGGAUGAACGUUGGCGGUGUGCCUAAUACAUGCAAGUCGAACGGAGUUAAUAGCAAUAUUGACUUAGUGGCGAACGGGUGAGUAACGCGUUGGUGAUCUGCCUUGAAGUGUGGAAUAACGCUCCGAAAGGAGCGCUAAUACCGCAUGUGCUCUCAAUUUUUAGAAACUUGAGAGGAAAGGAUUUAUUCGCUUCGAGAGGAGCCUGCGUCCCAUCAGCUGGUUGGUAGGGUAAAGGCCUACCAAGGCAAUGACGGGUAGGGGACCUGAGAGGGUGGCCCCCCACAAUGGAACUGAAACACGGUCCAUACACCUACGGGUGGCAGCAGUAGGGAAUAUUAGAAAUGGACGAAAGUCUGAUCUAGCAACACCGCGUGUGCGAAGAAGGCCUUCGGGUCGUAAAGCACUUUUUGGAAGGAAUAGGAAGGAAUGUACUUCCAGAAUAAGUCUCGGCUAACUACGUGCCAGCAGCCGCGGUAACACGUAGGAGGCAAACGUUAUCCGGAUUUACUGGGCGUAAAGCGCGUGUAGGUGGUUCUGUAAGUAGGGCGUGAAAGCUCCCGGCUCAACUGGGAGAUGCCGUUCUAAACUGCAGAGCUAGAGGAUGGUAGAGGGAGGUGGAAUUCCAGGUGUGGCGGUGGAAUGCGCAGAUAUCUGGAGGAACACCAGUGGCGAAGGCGGCCUCCUGGACCAUUCCUGACACUCAGACGCGAAAGCUAGGGUAGCAAACGGGAUUAGAGACCCCGGUAGUCCUAGCCCUAAACGAUGUAGACUAGGCGUCGGUGGUUUAAUCACCAUCGGUGUCCAAGCAAACGCGAUAAGUCUACCGCCUGGGGGACUACGGCCGCCAAGGUUAAAACUCGAAAUGAAUUGACGG
This 892-nucleotide ribosomal RNA is filed under the name uncultured bacterium. Its description in RNAcentral is "bacterial SSU rRNA". It matches the Rfam family "Bacterial small subunit ribosomal RNA", at positions 8 to 916 of the family's 1533-position model. The record is from RNAcentral.